RNAcentral lists this ribosomal RNA (253 nucleotides) under uncultured bacterium. RNAcentral describes it as "partial 16S ribosomal RNA". It matches the Rfam family "Bacterial small subunit ribosomal RNA", at positions 524 to 776 of the family's 1533-position model. The record is from RNAcentral.
UACGGAGGGGACUAGCGUUGUUCGGAAUUACUGGGCGUAAAGCGCACGUAGGCGGAUUUGUAAGUCAGGGGUGAAAUCCUGGAGCUCAACUCCAGAACUGCCUUUGAUACUGAGAAGCUUGAGUCCGGGAGAGGUGAGUGGAACUGCGAGUGUAGAGGUGAAAUUCGUAGAUAUUCGCAAGAACACCAGUGGCGAAGGCGGCUCACUGGCCCGGUACUGACGCUGAGGUGCGAAAGCGUGGGGAGCAAACAGG